GCCGGGGUGGCGGAACUGGUAGACGCGCACGACUCAAAAUCGUGUGGGGCAACCCGUGAGAGUUCGAGUCUCUCCCUCGGCACCA
RNAcentral lists this transfer RNA (85 nucleotides) under Candidatus Saccharimonadota bacterium. Its description in RNAcentral is "tRNA-Leu". It matches the Rfam family "tRNA". From Rfam's summary of the family: Transfer RNA (tRNA) molecules are approximately 80 nucleotides in length. Their secondary structure includes four short double-helical elements and three loops (D, anti-codon, and T loops). The record is from RNAcentral. Lineage: Bacteria; Candidatus Saccharimonadota.